RNAcentral lists this ribosomal RNA (2926 nucleotides) under Candidatus Nealsonbacteria bacterium RBG_13_42_11. RNAcentral describes it as "bacterial LSU rRNA". The stretch from base 4 to 2621 matches the Rfam family "Bacterial large subunit ribosomal RNA". The record is from RNAcentral. Lineage: Bacteria; Candidatus Nealsoniibacteriota.
CCAAGAAAUUUAAGAGCGGAUGGUGGAUGCCUUGGGAGAUUGAGGCGAUGAAGGACGUGGCGUGACUGCGAUAAUCCUCGGGGAGGUGUCUAGCAACCUUUGAUCCGGGGGCUUCCAAAUGGGGAAACCCAAUCCCGAUUAAUCGGGAUUAUCCCGCAGCAAUGCGGGAAGCAAACCCGCUGAAGUGAAACAUCCCAGUAAGCGGAGGAAAAUAGAACAAUGUUUAUUCCCUUAGUAGCGGCGAGCGAAAAGGGAAAAGCCCAAACCUCGUUAUUACAAUGUAAUGGCGGGGGGUUGUAAGGAGAUAACGUCGGGAGCUGACCGAAACACAUAACGUUUUAUGUGUUCGGUCGGUUUCUGAGGGAGAAUAUUUAGACGAAGUUUGGUUAGCUGAAUUCCGCUGGAAAGCGGAAACCAUAGAGGGUAAUAGUCCCGUAAGCGAAAAUCACUUCGCGCUCCUUGUUAUUUUACUUAAGUACCUCGGGGAAAGGAAAUCCUGAGGGAAUCAGGCCGGACUAACCGGCUAAGGCUAAAUACUCAAUCUCACCGAUAGUGAACCAGUACCGUGAGGGAAAGGUGAAAAGUAGCCCGGUGAGGGCGGUGAAAUAGUACCUGAAACCAUCUCGCUCACAAAGAGUCGGAGCUGAGCAUGUAACUUGUUAUGUGCUUGGUGACGGCGUGCUUAUUGCAGAACGACCCAACGAGUCUGAAUAUAUAGCGUGUCUAAUCCCGUUUCGGGAGACGGCAAAGGGAAACCGAGCGUUAAAAGCGCGUUUCUGCUAUAUAUCCAGGACCCGAAGCCAAGCGAGCUUGCCAUGAUCAGGGUGAAUCCCGCUGAAAAGUGGGAGGAGGCCCGAACCCGUGAGCCGUUCAAUACUCUGGGAUGAGUUGUGGCAAGAAGAGAAAACCUAAACGAGCUUGGUCAUAGCUGGUUCUCCCCGAAAUAGCUUUAGGACUAGCUCCCGUUUUAUUAUUUUCCAGGGGUAGAGCACUGAAAAGAAUGUUGUGGCUAACGCUAGACAUUCUUAUCAAACUCCGAAUACUGGAAAGUUUGACGGGAUGCUCGACUAUGGGGGCUAAGCUCCAUAGUCAAGAGGGCAACAGCCCAGAUCUUAAUCUAAGGUCCCUAAACUUAAGCUAAGUGUUUUUAAGGAAGUAAGAUUCCAUUGAUAGUUAGAAGGUUAGCUCAGAAGCAGCUACCCUUUAAAAAGUGCGUAAUAGCUUACUAACUAAGGAAUCUUGCGCCAAAGAUUAGCGGGACUCAAGCUUAAUACCGAAGAUAAGGAUGAGCGCGUAAUUUAUUAUGCGUUCGUGGUAGGGGAGCGUCCCCAAUGCAGCGAAGUCAAAUCGUAAGAUUUGGUGGAGCGUUGGGGAGCGAAGAUGUUGGGAUGAGUAAUCACAAUUCCGAUGAAAACUCGGAACACCGAAAACCCAAGGUUUCCUUGGAAAUGACAAUCAACCAAGGGUUAGGCGGUCCUUAACCGAAUCCGAAAGGAGUAGGCGAUGGACAGUCGGCAAAAAUUCCGACCCUGCCGUUAAAUAAUCUCAGGAUGACGCAGUUUAUUAAUUCAGGGAGAUUAUUGGAUUUCUUUAUCCCGCUUUCGGGCGGGAGUCCUGAAGAGAUAAGUUGCCUAGAAAACUUUUGAGUAUACUAUUUAACGGCAUCCGUACCGCAAACUGACACAGGUGGGUUGGUGUAAGAGCACCAAGGUGAACGAGUGAAACUUCGUUAAGGAACUCGGCAAAAAAGCGGUCGUACCUUAGGUAUAAGACCUACCCGAACCCGCGAGGGUUCGGGUCACAGCUAAAGUACCCCUAGCGACUGUUUAUCAAAAACACAGGUCCCUGCUUAAUUCGUAAGAAGAUGUAUAGGGGCUGAGUCCUGACCAGCGCUGGAACGUUAAAACUAGAGAUUUUCUGGAAGCAAUUCUGGAGAGUUUACUGGACUAAGCGCCAGCAAGCGUCCGCGGUAACUAUAACCGUGUUAAAGUAGCGUAACCCCUUGCCAGGUAAGUUCUGGCCCGCAUGAAAGGAUUAACGACUGGGGGACUGUCUCAACGAAGUACUCGAUGAAAAUGCACUACCGGUGAAGAUGCCGGUUUCUUGUGGCUAGACGGAAAGACCCCGGGAGCUUUACUGUAUUCAGAUAUUGGAUUUUGAUUUUUGAUGCGUAGCGUAGCGGGUAGGCUUUGAAGUUCCGUUUUCGGACGGGAUGGAGCCGCCAAUGAAACACCCGUCUUUUAAAAUCUUUUUUCUAAUCCCGCCAAAAUCGGGAAACAGUGUUUGAUGGGCAGUUUAGGUGGGGCACUUGCCUCCCAAAAAGUAAUGGAGGCGUUUAAAGGUCGGCUAGCUCCGGAUGGAAAUCGGAGUGGUCGUGUAAAGGCACAAGCCGGCUUUACUGCAAGACAGAUAUGUCGCGCAGUUGCGAAAGCAGAACUUAGUGAACCGACCAUGGUUCGUAGAACCGUGGAAGAUCAUCAGCCAAAAGUUACCCCGGGGAUAACAGGCUAGUAGGGCCCGCGAGUCCAUAUCAACGGCCCUGUUCGGCACCUUAACAUAUCGGGGUGCUAUGACAGUAAUGUCAUACCUGUGACUUGCAAAUUAUGCAAGAUAAAAUCUAACUUAUAACGGUGGAACCUUAAUUGUUUAAAAUGGUAUAAUAAAAAAAUAAACAAAAGGUAAUACCGUGGGAAGUUUAACUCAAUUGCAAAAAUCUGUGAUUAUAGGAUCGAUUUUGGGCGAUGGAUAUUUGCGUAUUGUUCCAAGGAGAAAGAAUGCUUUUCUCGAAAUCAACCACUCUUUCAAUCAGAAAGAAUAUGUUGAUUGGAAAUACGAAAUAUUGAAAAACAUCUGCAAAUCUCCUCCUAAAUUAAGAAGAAAUAAUGGAAAAAGAUUAUCCUACCGUUUUUAUACGAAGCAAAACGAA